This 399-nucleotide ribosomal RNA is filed under the name uncultured bacterium. RNAcentral describes it as "bacterial SSU rRNA". It matches the Rfam family "Bacterial small subunit ribosomal RNA", at positions 356 to 773 of the family's 1533-position model. The record is from RNAcentral.
GGGGAAUAUUGCACAAUGGGCGAAAGCCUGAUGCAGCAACGCCGCGUGAACGAUGAAGGUCUUCGGAUCGUAAAGUUCUGUCGCAGGGGAAGAUAAUGACGGUACCCUGUGAGGAAGCACCGGCUAACUACGUGCCAGCAGCCGCGGUAAUACGUAGGGUGCUAGCGUUAUCCGGAUUUACUGGGCGUAAAGGGUGCGUAGGUGGUCUUUCAAGUCGGUGGUUAAAGGCUACGGCUCAACCGUAUUAAGCCGCCGAAACUGGAAGACUUGAGUGCAGGAGAGGAAAGUGGAAUUCUCAGUGUAGCGGUGAAAUGCGUAGAUAUUGAGAAGAACACCAGUAGCGAAGGCGGCUUUCUGGACUGUAACUGACACUGAGGCACGAAAGCGUGGGUAGCAAAC